RNAcentral lists this ribosomal RNA (321 nucleotides) under uncultured archaeon. RNAcentral describes it as "bacterial SSU rRNA". It matches the Rfam family "Archaeal small subunit ribosomal RNA", at positions 19 to 338 of the family's 1478-position model. The record is from RNAcentral.
GGAGGUUACUGCUAUCGGUGUUCGCCUAACCCAUGCGAGUCAUAUGUUCUUCGUGAACAUGGCGUACUGCUCAGUAACACGUGAAUAACCUGCCCUUGGGACCGGCAUAACCCCGGGAAACUGGGGAUAAUUCCGGAUACCGCAUAUAUGCUGGAAUGCUUUAUGCGUGAAAUGGAUUCGUCUGCCCAAGGAUGGAUCUGCGGCCUAUCAGGUAGUAGUGGGUGUAAUGUACCUACUACCCUACGACGGGUACGGGUUGUGAGAGCAAGAGCCCGGAAAUGGAUUCUGAAACAUGAAUCCAGGCCCUACGGGGCGCACCAC